Molecule: ribosomal RNA, 253 nt
Filed under: uncultured bacterium
Lineage: Bacteria
Description: partial 16S ribosomal RNA
Rfam family: Bacterial small subunit ribosomal RNA
Source: RNAcentral
UACGUAGGGGGCAAGCGUUGUCCGGAAUUAUUGGGCGUAAAGAGCGUGUAGGCGGUCCGGUAAGUCAGCUGUGAAAGUCAAGGGCUCAACCCUUGAAAGCCGGUUGAUACUGUCGGGCUAGAGUCCGGAAGAGGCGAGUGGAAUUCCCGGUGUAGCGGUGAAAUGCGCAGAUAUCGGGAGGAACACCAGUGGCGAAGGCGACUACCUGGCCUGUUCUUGACGCUGAGGCGCGAAAGCUAGGGGAGCAAACGGG